GACGAACGCUGGCGGCGUGCCUAACACAUGCAAGUCGAACGGAGAAGGAUGAGAGCUUGCUCUUGUCAAUCUUAGUGGCGAACGGGUGAGUAACGCGUAAACAACCUGCCUUCGGUAUGGGGACAACAGACGGAAACGACUGCUAAUACCCAAUAAGCAACCUGAGAGCAUUUGAAGGAAUGGAAAGGUGGCCUCUCUAAAGAAGCUACCGCCGGGAGAGGGGUUUGCGUCUGAUUAGCUAGUUGGUGGGGUAAGGGCCUACCAAGGCGAUGAUCAGUAGCCGGUCUGAGAGGAUGAACGGCCACAMUGGAACUGAGACACGGUCCAGACUCC
RNAcentral lists this ribosomal RNA (333 nucleotides) under uncultured bacterium. Its description in RNAcentral is "bacterial SSU rRNA". It matches the Rfam family "Bacterial small subunit ribosomal RNA", at positions 28 to 339 of the family's 1533-position model. The record is from RNAcentral.